CUGAGUUACCGCUCUAUAACCCUUUGUGAACAUACCUACAACUGUUGCUUCGGCGGGUAGGCCGUCCCCUGAAAAGGACGCCUCCCGGCCCGGACCGGACCCCCUGUGGGGCCGGACUCGGCGCCCGCCGGAGGAUAACCAAACGCUAUUUAAACGACGUUUCUUCUGAGUGGCAUAAGCAAAAUAAUCA
Molecule: unclassified non-coding RNA, 190 nt
Filed under: uncultured Colletotrichum
Lineage: Eukaryota; Fungi; Ascomycota; Sordariomycetes; Glomerellales; Plectosphaerellaceae
Description: sequence contains ITS1
Source: RNAcentral